This 253-nucleotide ribosomal RNA is filed under the name uncultured microorganism. RNAcentral describes it as "partial small subunit ribosomal RNA". It matches the Rfam family "Bacterial small subunit ribosomal RNA", at positions 524 to 776 of the family's 1533-position model. The record is from RNAcentral.
UACGUAGGUGGCAAGCGUUGUCCGGAAUUACUGGGCGUAAAGGGUGCGCAGGCGGACAUUUAAGUGAGAUGUGAAAGACCCGGGCUUAACUUGGGCAGGGCAUUUCAAACUGGGUGUCUUGAGUGCAGGAGAGGAGAACGGAAUUCCUAGUGUAGCGGUGAAAUGCGUAGAGAUUAGGAAGAACACCAGUGGCGAAGGCGGUUCUCUGGACUGUAACUGACGCUGAGGCACGAAAGCGUGGGUAGCAAACAGG